This is a long non-coding RNA of Andrographis paniculata, 554 nucleotides long. RefSeq lists it as uncharacterized. The record is from RefSeq and is a predicted model, not a curated record. The transcript has 4 exons. Lineage: Eukaryota; Viridiplantae; Streptophyta; Magnoliopsida; Lamiales; Acanthaceae.
AACCCUUCUUUCGUUUGAUCCGCUUCUUCCUUCGAUUUGCUUCUUCCUUCGAUUUGCUUCUUCGUCAUUUAUGCUACAUGUUUUGAAAUCGAAAAUUUUCUUGCGCCCAUUGUCGAUGCUAGCGGAAAUCAGGAAGCACAAACAACCAUAAAUAAUUGCACAGGAAAAUGGUUACAUAACCGACAAAUAUGUUGUAAAUAGGCAUCAACCAUACUAGAACGAGUUGAUUUUGAUCUCAUGCAACAAGAUACAAACCUAGAUAACAACAAAGAUUGUAAGUGAAUUAUGGUAUGGGGUAUGUUAUCUAAAUUAACACCCUAUUUACCUUUGUACCUGCUAGUCUGGAUGGGUGUUGGUUUUGGAUGUAAUGUUUGUUGUGCAACAAGUUUAACGAUGAAUAUUCAUUUUGAAAGUAGUAGUGUGCAACAACUUGUGCAGGGUGUUUGUAUACUAUUUUUGUAAAUGAUGGAAGCUAUGUUGAGAGCUCUUUUUGUAAAUGAAAAGUAGUGUCUGGAUUGUGUUUUGGCCAAGAAAUAAAAUUUUAAAAUAUUACA